UAGCAUAUCAAUAAGCGGAGGAAAAGAAACCAACAGGGAUUGCCCCAGUAACGGCGAAGUGAAGCGGCAACAGCUCAAAUUUGAAAUCUGGCCCCAGGCCCCGAGUUGUAAUUUGCAGAGGAUGCUUUUGGCGCGGUGCCUUCCGAGUUCCCUGGAACGGGACGCCAUAGAGGGUGAGAGCCCCGUACGGUUGGACACCAAGCCUUUGUAAAGCUCCUUCGACGAGUCGAGUAGUUUGGGAAUGCUGCUCUAAAUGGGAGGUACAUUUCUUCUAAAGCUAAAUAUUGGCCAGAGACCGAUAGCGCACAAGUAGAGUGAUCGAAAGAUGAAAAGCACUUUGAAAAGAGGGUUAAACAGCACGUGAAAUUGUUAAAAGGGAAGCGCUUGUGACCAGACUUGCGUCCGGUGAAUCACCCAGCUCUCGCGGCUGGGGCACUUCGCCGGCACAGGCCAGCAUCAGCUUGCCGUCGGGGACAAAAGCUUCAGGAACGUGGCUCCUCUCGGGGAGUGUUAUAGCCUGUUGCACAAUACCCUUCGGCGGGCUGAGGUACGCGCUCCGCAAGGAUGCUGGCGUAAUGGUCAUCAGCGACCCGUCUUGAAACACGGACCAAGGAGUCAACCUUAUGUGCGAGUGUUUGGGUGUUAAACCCCUACGCGUAAUGAAAGUGAACGCAGGUGAGAGCUUCGGCGCAUCAUCGACCGAUCCUGAUGUUCUCGGAUGGAUUUGAGUAAGAGCAUAUAGGGUUGGACCCGAAAGAAGGUGAACUAUGCGUGUGUAGGGUGAAGCCAGAGGAAACUCUGGUGGAGGCUCGCAGCGGUUCUGACGUGCAAAUCGAUCGUCAAACAUGCGCAUGGGGGGCGAAAGACUAAUCGAACCUUCUAGUAGCUGGUUUCCGCC
RNAcentral lists this ribosomal RNA (898 nucleotides) under Colletotrichum salicis. Its description in RNAcentral is "LSU rRNA". It matches the Rfam family "Eukaryotic large subunit ribosomal RNA", at positions 36 to 962 of the family's 3401-position model. The record is from RNAcentral. Lineage: Eukaryota; Fungi; Ascomycota; Sordariomycetes; Glomerellales; Glomerellaceae.